Canis lupus familiaris (dog) is the source of this 778-nucleotide long non-coding RNA. RefSeq lists it as uncharacterized. The transcript is spliced from 5 exons. NCBI's taxonomy places the organism in Eukaryota, Metazoa, Chordata, Mammalia, Carnivora, Canidae. The record is from RefSeq and is a predicted model, not a curated record.
UUUUUAGGAACAAGGGAUUUUUUUCCCCUUGUGCUUUGUUUUCCCAGUCUUGAAUUAAUCACAGCUGUCUUUCACCAGCAAAGGUUAUUUUUGUCUAGCACGCUUUAAAUUAAAAAAAACAACAACAAAGAAAGCGAUCUGAUGUUCUUCAAGCCUCCAUAACCUUCCACAGAAAAGAGGGAAGCGUGAGCUCUGUGCAGCUAAGAAUCCAGCUUUUAAUUAUAUCUUUCUUGUGUUUACAUGAACUUUAGUUUGCAUUUCAGAAGCCUUAUGGAAAGAUUCCUGCGGCGGACCCCGGAGUAGUGGCGAAUUUCUCCAUCAAGGUGAAGAAGCCAGUGAAGACAGUCAAUGAAAACCAAGGAGUGAUGUGAUUUUAUUUACAAUUUCAAGUUAACACUUGGUGGAAGUUAGAGGACAGAUUUCAAAAGUGAAAGCCAGAAGGAUGAAGGACGUGUGUCUCUCCUGGAGUGACUCAGCAAAGCCAACUGGCGCACAAUCCUCAGGAAGUGCCUACUGGGUUAAAAGAAACCUCACAGCUGCUCUGUGCUGCCUUUAUUACUGGUUAUGGACCACCUUCGUGGAGCGACUCGAGGUCUCCACAGGUCAGAAACCUUUGCCCCAGUGCUGCCCCUGUUCCGGUUUAACUUUAGUCGGUGGCCAAGACUGUCACGUCCCUGUCUCACCCUAGUCAAAAGGUUUUCAGUCCAAAUGGCACCCUAGGGUCCAAAAUGACUUCCAGUGCUUGAGUUCUUAAACCUCUUCCCGGCCAUGAUCAAGG